CCUGGCUUCCCUGGGGGUCCUCAGCACUGACAUGGGACCUGGUACUGAGCUGGCAUCUUGGUACUGAGCUGGAUAUAUGCUGAAUGAGCAAUGGUUGUGCUGGGCAGAGGAUUGUGGCAGAGGCUCUCUGGAGAUGCAGGGAUUUUGUGCUAUGAAAUGAUAGAGACAUCAGAAACUCAAGCCAAAGCUCUGAGGCCACCCCAGAUCUCCAGUCCCACUUAGGGGCCAGCCUGUUGAAGUCCCUGUAAGGAAGACCAGCUCCUGCAGGUGCUUCUGUGGCCCAGCCAGCAUCUGUUAUGGGAAGGCACACAGGGCCAUCCAGCCUCACCAAUCAACUCACUUUAAUCAACCUCUUCCAAUCUUAGGCUGACUGCAGUAGAGAAAUUAUCUGAGGGAAGAAGAAAACAUAAGGAUGUUACCUAAGCCCUAUCUAGAGACACUAUUUCCCAUGAAGCCAACCGAAGAAGGCUUCUGGAAGCAGCCGUUACUACCGGGGAAGGGAAGACAUGAAAUCCCACUCUUGACCCCAAAUGUCAUUUUCCAGCUCAGAAUGAGCAUGAAGAAAGUGCAGGUAAGAAAUUCAGGGAAGUUGGGGGCACACAGUCACCUUUUUUUUUC
RNAcentral lists this long non-coding RNA (618 nucleotides) under Chinchilla lanigera (long-tailed chinchilla). Its description in RNAcentral is "lncRNA (ENSCLAG00000023625.1)". The record is from RNAcentral. Lineage: Eukaryota; Metazoa; Chordata; Mammalia; Rodentia; Chinchillidae.